RNAcentral lists this ribosomal RNA (583 nucleotides) under uncultured bacterium. Its description in RNAcentral is "bacterial SSU rRNA". It matches the Rfam family "Bacterial small subunit ribosomal RNA", at positions 338 to 916 of the family's 1533-position model. The record is from RNAcentral.
CCUACGGGAGGCAGCAGUGGGGAAUUUUGGACAAUGGGCGCAAGCCUGAUCCAGCAAUGCCGCGUGAGUGAAGAAGGCCUUCGGGUUGUAAAGCUCUUUUGUCAGGGAAGAAACGGCUGAGGUUAAUACCUUUGGCUAAUGACGGUACCUGAAGAAUAAGCACCGGCUAACUACGUGCCAGCAGCCGCGGUAAUACGUAGGGUGCAAGCGUUAAUCGGAAUUACUGGGCGUAAAGCGUGCGCAGGCGGUUUUGUAAGUCUGUCGUGAAAGCCCCGGGCUCAACCUGGGAAUUGCGAUGGAGACUGCAAGGCUUGAAUCUGGCAGAGGGGGGUAGAAUUCCACGUGUAGCAGUGAAAUGCGUAGAGAUGUGGAGGAACACCGAUGGCGAAGGCAGCCCCCUGGGUCAAGAUUGACGCUCAUGCACGAAAGCGUGGGGAGCAAACAGGAUUAGAUACCCUGGUAGUCCACGCCCUAAACGAUGUCUACUAGUUGUCAGGUUUUAAUUAACUUGGUAACGCAGCUAACGCGUGAGUAGACCGCCUGGGGAGUACGGUCGCAAGNUUAAACUUAAAUGAAUUGACGG